UUUCUUAUAACCAGGAGAAUAUGCAGGUCUGAGUUAUUCCCCGUUGUUACAUUUACGCCACUUGCAUCAAUGGUUCUUAAAACGAAAAAAUGGCGAGCCUUUCUGAGAAAGAUUUUGAUUGUUUCGAUGGAUAUCACCAUACAUUAAUGAUAAUAAUGACAGAUAGAAACCAAGGAAGUUAUCUUCAAUUUGUUGGAGAAUAUUUCAGCUCGGGAAAAAGAUUAGAAGAGAAUCAGCCUGGUAUAACAGGUGAAGCUUUAGACAGGACCCAUCACGGUGAGCAGAGUAUUCACCAUUACUUCUGCAAUCAACGGAAAGCAAUAGCAGGUCUUUCUGGUGGCAUGAUGUAUAUAUACAACGGGUUGUACCUGUAUAUUGGGUUUAGCAAUCCUCUUGUUGGAUGCAGGAAGUGUUUUGUAGAAUUAACUUUAAGAAAAGAGUCAGCAAAAUGGGCGUACGAACAACUUGAUAACGGAGAAACUAAGACAUCUCGACAUGGUGAAUGGAAAGUUGAAGCCAAAUAUUUAUUGUCACAGAAACCUAUAUUGAACAUAACAUUGGGUAGGGAUUACCAGUUUUAAGGACUUUGUUCAGAGAGCAAAUCGACGCAUGAUGAAAGUAAUGUCUUCCAUGAACAGAACAUUAACAGACUUCUUGCCUCGCCAUGUCGAAAGACACCAAAGCUGUUGUGAUACCAAAGGCGUUGGUGUCGUGUGUAGACACCAUGUUAACAAUUCUAAGCAAGCUCAUAUUUACUACACAUCACAACUGAAUGAAACUUCAUACAUGCCUUCCCCAUGAUAAUACCAAUAGUAUGGUAUAGGUUCAAUAACUCAUGUUUUCAUUUUGAUGAAAUUAUGUCCCAUUUUGUACUUUUUAAACAAAAUUCUGUUCUCGAUUGUUAUCAAGUUAGUGUCUCAGUAAGUACAUAUCACAACUAAAUUUUUUUUUCAUUCUAACACGACCAGCAAAUAACCUACAUACAUAUAGAGCAAAAUCUAUCUCCGGUUAUUCUGCAAUAAACCACUCGCGUGCAAUGACGUCAUCCGAUCAAGGUGCGUAGCGCGGUCGUAAAAAUUAGUUACCCUUUUUCUAACACUGUUGAUACUAGUAUGUCGUGUUAGAAUCGGAAUAAUAAGUUCCCAAGUGUGAUUUAUCGCAGAAUAACCAGAGUUUUUCGUUCUUAUGCGAAACAAUAUAUCACUCAGGCCUACGGCCUUCGUGCUAUAUUUUUAUGCAUAAGAACUCAAAACUCGGGUUACUCUACGAUAAACCACGUUUGGGAACUUAUUAUUUCUUAAGCAGUAUUCUUUUCAUACUUGUCAUUGAGUAAAAAUCUCAGUAACUACACAUCAUACAGUUGAAUGAAGCUACACUUCUUGGCCAUGAUAAUACCAGCUGAAUGUCAUAGAUACCAUACAGCAGUUUUCCUUAGUUGACCAUCUACCAAAUUUUCUACAUAAUGUUGUUUUGUUAAAAAACAUGGCAGCCAUGGGUGUUACUAGUUUUCCUUCUAUGGCUAUAUGGAUAACUUUGAAAAUCUUCUAAUCUGUAACAGUUACUGCUGGUUUGAUUUCAAAAUAAUAGCACUGAAAUGUCUGUUGGGUGACACAAUCAAAAUUUAUUCAAUUCAUCUUGUUUUGUUAAAAAUCGUGACACCUGGGGGGCUAGUUUUCCCUAUAUGGCUACUGUGAAAUCAUUAAUAUUCAUGGUGACUAAUUUUCAUGGAUUUCCUGGUUGAGUCAAUCCAUGAAAUUGAAUCCCAACGAACAAGUAAAAUUCCCAUUCAUUUUAUGUUCAAAAGUUGAAAUUCACGAAUUCAUAUCCCCACGAAAUUGCCGUUUUGACCGAAACCAGGAAAUUUCAUGCCCACGAAAUUUAAUGAUUUUACAGUAGUUAGAAACCAUGGUCCUUUUGUAAAACCUUUACUCUGUCUGUUUUUAGCUCACCUGUCACAUAGUGACAGAGAGCUUUUGUGAUCGUCCAUACGUCCACAAUUUCCUUGUGAACAUGAUAGAGACCACAUUUUAUAUUUGAUUUUAAUCAAACUUGCACACAACUUGUAUGGGCAUAAUAUUUCGGUUCCUUUCGAAAACUGGCCAGAUCCCAUCCUGGUUCCAGAGUUCUGACCUCUUAAAGGGCUAAAAUUUGCCAUUUUUGUCUUGUGAACAUGAUAGAGACCACAUUUUGCAAUCAACUUUAAUCAAACGUGCACACAACUUGUAUUGGCAUAAUAUCUCAGUUCCUUUCGAAAACUGGCCAGAUCCCAUCAUAAGUUCCAGAGUUAUGGCCCCUUAUAGAUCCAAAAUUUGCUAUUUUGGCUUUUGCAGCCAUAUAGAGACUUCAUUUAUGGUUUGAUUUGAUACAAACUUGCAAAAUAUCUUCAGCAGCAAUAAAUCCAUGAUGAAUCUGUCAGAUCCAGUCAUAGGUUCUGGAGUUACGGCCCCUGAUUGACCCCCUAAAAGAGCCAAAUUUGUUAAAUUUUUUUACCUUGUGAACACGAUAGAAGUGACAUUUUAUAUUUCAUUUUAACCACACUUACACACAACUUAAGUCGCAAUAAGAUCUCAGUUCCUUUCGAAAACUGGCUAGAUUCCAUUAUGGGUGCUGGAGUUACUGCCCCGCUUAGCUUAUUAGGUAGAGCAUUCCUAGGCCAAGUUUGAAACUGGGUCAAAUGAGGUCAAAAACUAGGUCACCCAGUCAGAUCAAAGGAAAAGCUUGUUAACACUCUUGAGGCCACAUUUAUGACCCUAUCUUCAUAAAACUUGGUAAAAAAUUUUAUCUUGAUGAUUCCUAGGCUAAGUAAAGUUUGAAACUGUGUCUUAUGGGGUCAGAACAGAAACUAGGUCACCCACUCAAAUCAAAGGAAAAGCUUGUUAACACUCUUGUUCAUUUAAUGUGCAUGAAACUUGGUCAGAAUGUUUGUGUGCAUGAAAUAUCUUUUGAAUUUUUAUCUGGGUCAUGUAGGGUCAAAAACUAGGUCACCAGGUCAAAUCAAAGAAUAAGCUUGUUUUCACUCAAGAGGCCACGUUUUUUGGUCCAAUCUUAAUGAAAAUUGGUCAGAAUAUUUGUCUCCAUGAAAUCGCUAGGUAAAACAUGUGUACACUCUUAUUGUGUGUUACUCAGGUGAAUGACUUAUGGCCAUCUUGGCCCUCUUCUUAGCUCACAUGAGCCAAAGGCUCAGGGUGAGCUAUUGUGAUCACUCACUGUCCGUCCAUCGUAUGUCGUCCGUUGUCCGUCCGUAAACUUUUACUUUAAACAACAUCUCCUCAUAAACCACUAGGCCAAUUUCAUCCAAACUUCACAGGAAUGUUCCUUGGGUGAAGCUCUACAAAAAUUAUUAAAAGAAUUGAAUUCCAUGCAGAACUCGGGUUGCCAUGGCAGCCGAAAGGAAAAACAUUAAAAAUCUUCUUCUCAAAAACCAGAAGCCUAGAGCUUAGAUAUUUGGUGUAAAGCAUUACCUAGUGGACCUCUACCAAGUUUGUUCAAAUCAUGACGCCCCCGGGUCAAAAUUGACCCCGCCCGAGGGGUCAUAUGAUUUUACAUAAGAAAAUCUUAAAAAAUCUUUUUCUCAAAAACCAGAAGCCCUAUAGCUUAGAUAUUUGACAUGUAGCAUUGCCUAGUGGACCUCUACUAAAGUUGUUCAAAUCAUGACCCCGGGGUGAAAAAUGACCCCGCCCCAGGGGUCACUUGAUUUUACAUAGAUUUCUAUAGGAAAAUCUUCAAAAAAAUUUAAAAAAUAAACCAGAAGGCCUAGAGCUUAGAUAUUUGACAUGUAGCAUUGCCUAAUAGACCUCUACAAAAUUUGUUGAAAUCAUGACCCCCCGGGUCAAAAUUGACCCCACCCCAGGGGUCACUUGAUUUUACAUAGGAAAAUCUUCAAAAAUUUUCUAAAAAUAAACCAGAAGGCCUAGAGCUUAGAUAUUUAACAUGUAGCAUUGCCUAGUGGACCUCUACAAAAUUUGUUCAAAUCAUGACCCCCGGGGUUAAAAUUGACCCCGCUCCAGGGGUCACUUGAUUUUACAUAGGAAAAAAUUUCAAAAAUUUUCUAAAAAUAAACCAGAUGGCCUAGAUCUUAGAUAUUUGACAUAUAGCAUUGCCUAGUAGACUUCUUCAAAAUUUAUUCAAAUCAUGACUCCCGGGGUCAAAUUGACCCCGCCCCAUGGGGUUACUUGAUUGUACAUAGAAAAAUCUUCAAAAUUUGCUAAAAAUAAACCAGAAGGCCUAGAUCUUAGAUAUUUGAUAUGUAACAUUGCCUAGUAGACUUCUACAAACUUUGUUCAAAUCAUGACCCCCGGGGUAAAAUUGGCCCCGCCCCAGGGGUUACUUGAUUGUACAUCGGAAAAUCUUCCAAACAAAUUCUAAAAAUCAUAAAUUUGACAUUUGAAACAUGUAGCUCAUAUUACUCAGGUGAGCGAACCAGGGUCAUCAUGACCCUCUUGUUUGUACUUCCUUCUGUUUCAUGAUAUUGCCACUAAGUAUCCCCACCCCAUUACCACUAAUCAAGCAUACCACAAUAAAGAUGAGAACACCCCCACACUUUCAGAGAACUUUUUAUCUAUUGCAGUGAGCUUCAUCGUCUGCUGAUAACUCUUGUUAUAAAGAAGUGUUCUCUUUUAUGCUGUUACCGUUGCAGGUGCAUAUAAUAUAAUCAAAUCAUGUUGAGAAGAGCCUUUAAAUGUAAUAGCGUCCUAGCAGUUCAUACUCGCCUUAAGUCUAUUUCCAGUACAAUGGAUAUCGGAUCUGUUACAUGAAUCACAGAGUUUUACAGUCAUUUUGUAAGCUUGACUAUAUAUAAGAUUUUGUUUAUUGAUAAGUUUGGUAAACUUGGUUUGUUCAGUUAUGUUGCAUCUUGGAAAAUUUUAGAGAAUUCCUUGGAACCCUGUUGAGAUAAUUCCUUCGAGCCCUGUAGAGAUAAUUCCUUUGAGCCCAGUAGAAAUUGAGGGAACAAACUAUAUAAUAAGGAGGAAUACCUGUCGACGAGAACUAUAAUUGUAAACACACUUACAGAUAAUUGUAGAAUUGGAACUGCUGCAAUUAGAAUAGAAACUCACCGGCCAGGACGCUUUGAAAGGUUACAUAUUAAUCAAAGGGCUCGCUCUCUUUGUGCUAAUCAGAUGGAAAAUGAGUUUCAUGUAUUGAUGGACAGUAAUUAAAUUUUAUUUGAUUAAUGUAAAUUUAUUUACAUAUGCUUAAAAAAAUCAUGACAAUUUCGCAGCAUUACAGGCGUAUGUUAGAAUUCCUGUAAAUGAGAUGGUCGAAAUUUUCCCCAGUAAUAGAAUUUCUUCAAACUGAUCAAUAAUGAAGGACAAUCAUCUAUGAAACAAAAAUAUGCAAUAAAAGUAAUAGGUCUCCGGUAUUGAAAAAGAGUUAUCUGUCCUUGAAAACGGCAUUUUUUAUGUCCUUCAGUAUCGAAAAUUAGAAGAAAUUAUAUUAUUGGGAAAAUUUACGCCCAUCUCAUAUACAGAAAUUCUAGUGUAAAGUAUUGAGGAAGAUAAAGUAUUUUUACAAAAAUGACUCUACAUUUAUCUUUGAUAUUUUUAAAAGAAAGUAACAAAUUUCUUGUUUACAUAUAUAAUUACUUUUUAGGCUAGUAAUAAACAAUAGUAUUGUAAUUUUAGCUGGUAUUUUACAGAUGUUAAACAUAUUUUAAGUGACUAAUGUACAAGAUUUUUUCUGUGUUAGUGCACAAAUAUAGUGCAAUAUCUGUUUCAGUCAUUGGUGUUUUAGUUACAGUACAACUUAUAUUAAGAGACCAUCCAAGGGGACUGUAUGAAUUAGUCUCUUACUUUAGUUGGUCUCUUAAAACAACAUAAUUUGUUCUUUAACAAUACAGUAUGGGAUUUAAAAAGUGGUCUCUUACUUGACGUGAUCUCUCAAGCAAGUGUGUCAAGCUGUUAGUCAGAUAUAACUCCAAGAAGACUUUAAUGCAGAUUCGCAAUUUCUGUAGGAAUAACGCUACUACCACAUGCAUUAUCUGUUGUAUCUGUAAAAAUAUGCAAGUUCAGCACUGUAGUCAGUUCCCCACAUAAUAUAUGAUACAAGGUGAUAAAUGUCUUAAUCAAUAUUGUUUUAAGAAAGCAUUUACUAAUAUAUUUCAUAUUUAAUUAAUCUUAAUGGUAGAAUUGACAUUUGUGUUUUAACCAUGUAAAUGUGUAAUAUGACUGAAUAUUGAUUGUUAUACCCCCCUUCGAAGAAGGAGGGGUAUAUUGUUUUGCAGAUGUCGGUCGGUCGGUAUGUAGACCCAUCCAUUUCCGGAUGAUAACUCAAGAACGCUUGGGCCUAAGGUCAUAAAAGUUCAUAGGGAGGUUGGUCAUGCCCAGCAGAUGAUUUUGAGAUCAGUAGGUCAAAGGUCAAGGUCACAGUGACCCGGAACAGUUAAAUGGUUUCCGGAUGAUAACUCAAGAACGCUUGGGCCUAGGAUCAUAAAAGUUCAUAGAGAAGUUGGUCUAGAGCCGCAGAUGACCCCUAUUGAUUUUGAGAUCAGUAGGUCAAAUGUCAAGGUCACAGUGACCAGGAACAGUUUAACCGUUUCCGGAUGAUAAUUCAAGAAUGCUUGGGCCUAGGAUCAUGGAAGUUGAUAGGGAGGUAAAUCAUGACCAGCAGAUAACCCGUACUAUUUUUGAGGUCAGUAAAUCAAAGGUCAAGGUCACAGUGAACUGGAACAGUUAAACCAUUUCCAGAUGAUAACUUGAGAAUACUUGGGCCUAGGAUCAUGAAAGUUCAUAGGGAAGUUGGUCAUGAUCAGCAGAUAACUCCUAUUGAUUUUGAGGUCAGUAGGUCAAAGGUCAAGGUCACAGUGACCAGGAACAGUUAAAUGGUGUCCAGAUGAUAACUCAAGAACGCUUGGGCCUAGGAUCAUAAAAGUUCAUAGAGAAGUUGGUCUAGAGCCGCAGAUGACCCCUAUUGAUUUUGAGAUCAGUAGGUCAAAUGUCAAGGUCACAGUGACCAGGAACAGUUUAACCAUUUCCAGAUGAUAAUUCAAGAAUACUUGGGCCUAGGAUCAUGAAAGUUGAUAGGGAGGUUAAUCAUGACCAGCAGAUAACCCGUACUGUUUUUGAGGUCAGUAAAUCAAAGGUCAAGGUCACAGUGACAUGGAACAGUUAAACCAUUUCCAGAUGAUAACUUGAGAAUACUUGGGCCUAGGAUCAUGAAAGUUCAUAGGGAAGUUGGUCAUGAUCAGCAGAUGACUCCUAUUGAUUUUGAGGUCAGUAGGUCAAAGGUCAGUGUCACAGUGACCUGGAACAGUUAAAUGGUUUCCGGAUGAUAACUCAAGACCACUUGGGCCUAGGAUCAUGAAAGUUGAUAGGGAGUUUGGUCAUGACCAGCAGAUGACUCGUAUUGAUUAAGAGGUCAAUAUGCCAAAGGUCAAGGUCACAGUGAGUCGGAACAGUUAAACUGUGUCCGGAUGAUAACCCAAGAACAAACGGUUUCCGGAUGAUAACUCAAGAGCGUUUGGAGCCCGCCUGCUUAGCUCAGUAGGUAAGAAAGUUGGUCUACGGAUCGCGGGGUUUUGUUAGUCCGAUCCUCGGGCGGCACGUAUGUUCUCCGUGAUUAUUUGAUAAACGACAUUGUGUCUGAAAUCAUAAGUCCUCCACCUCUGAUUCAUGUGGGAAAGUUGGCAGUUACUUGCGAAGAAAAGAUUUGUACUUGUACAGAAUCCAGGAAAACUGGUUAAGUUAACUGCCCGCCGUUACAUGACUGAAAUACCGUUGAAAAAUGGCGUUAAACACAAAACAAACAAAAACAAACAAACAAGAACGCUUGGGCCUAGGAUCAUGAAAGUUUAUAGGGAGGUUGAUCAUGACCAGCAGCUGACACCUAUCGAUUUUGAGGUCAAUAGGGCAAAGGUCAAGGUCACAUUGGCCCAGAACAGUAGAACUUUUGUGUACAGUGACCAAAUAAUUUCUGUUCAUUGUGCAGUUACUGAAUGCAUCAAGGGGGGCAUUUCGUGUUCUACGAGCUCUUGUUUUUAGUAUGAAUCUGUUAUAAGUCUCUUGUAAUUCUGUAAAAUAAUUGAUGCUAUUGUAUGUAUGUAUGUUUGUACUGAUGUUUGUAAAUUGAUGAGACUCUAAUAAACAAUAAAUAUUCAUAAGACCA
Mercenaria mercenaria is the source of this 8100-nucleotide long non-coding RNA. RefSeq lists it as uncharacterized. The record is from RefSeq and is a predicted model, not a curated record. The transcript is spliced from 3 exons. NCBI's taxonomy places the organism in Eukaryota, Metazoa, Mollusca, Bivalvia, Venerida, Veneridae.